Long non-coding RNA from Amphimedon queenslandica, 134 nucleotides. RefSeq lists it as uncharacterized. The record is from RefSeq and is a predicted model, not a curated record. NCBI's taxonomy places the organism in Eukaryota, Metazoa, Porifera, Demospongiae, Haplosclerida, Niphatidae. The transcript is spliced from 3 exons.
AGGCACGAUUUUUCCUAUAUCAUAUGAGCAGCUGUUACUAUCAACUAGUAGUGGUUUAUUGAAGCAAUUGACUGUGUCAUUUAAUGUUCAACUAAAUGAAGCAAAGAAAGAAGCAGAGUCAGUAAAGGAAACAC